CGGCGGACGGGUGAGUAACGCGUGGGUAACCUGCCUCAUACAGGGGGAUAACAGUUGGAAACGGCUGCUAAUGCCGCAUAAGCGCACAGUACCGCAUGGUACGGUGUGAAAAACUCCGGUGGUAUGAGAUGGACCCGCGUCUGAUUAGGUAGUUGGUGGGGUAACGGCCUACCAAGCCGACGAUCAGUAGCCGACCUGAGAGGGUGACCGGCCACAUUGGGACUGAGACACGGCCCAA
This 238-nucleotide ribosomal RNA is filed under the name uncultured bacterium. RNAcentral describes it as "partial 16S ribosomal RNA". It matches the Rfam family "Bacterial small subunit ribosomal RNA", at positions 96 to 334 of the family's 1533-position model. The record is from RNAcentral.